Molecule: ribosomal RNA, 465 nt
Filed under: uncultured bacterium
Lineage: Bacteria
Description: partial 16S ribosomal RNA
Rfam family: Bacterial small subunit ribosomal RNA
Source: RNAcentral
AAUGAACGUUGGCGGCGUGGAUUAGGCAUGCAAGUCGAGCGAGAACCCCGCAAGGGGGGACAGCGGCGAAAGGGACAGUAAUGUGUAGAUUAUCUGCCCUCAGGUCCGGGAUAGCUGCGGGAAACUGCAGGUAAUACCGGAUAACAUCUCCGGAUCAAAGGUGUGAUUCCGCCUGAGGAUGAGUCUGCAUCCUAUUAGCUAGUUGGUGGGGUAAUGGCCUACCAAGGCAUUGAUGGGUAGCAGGUGUGAGAGCACGACCUGCGUCAUUGGGACUGAGACACUGCCCAGACACCUACGGGUGGCUGCAGUCGAGAAUCUUCGGCAAUGGGCGCAAGCCUGACCGAGCGACGCCGCGUGUGGGAUGAAGGCCUUCGGGUUGUAAACCACUGUCAGAGGGGAUGAAAUGCAGGUGGGUUCUCCCAUCUGUUUGACAUAGCCUCAGAGGGAGGACGGGCUAAGUUCGUG